Molecule: long non-coding RNA, 201 nt
Organism: Ipomoea nil (Japanese morning glory)
Lineage: Eukaryota; Viridiplantae; Streptophyta; Magnoliopsida; Solanales; Convolvulaceae
Exons: 3
Source: RefSeq, a predicted model, not a curated record
AAGUUUCACAAUGCAAGUCCUUGAGACUUCCUUCUGAAGUUAAAACAGAUAGGAUAUGGAGGUUGAUGUACACAAGCUCGGGGAAUGCCAUUAUGGCACUGGCAGCAGAUGGUGUUCACCUAGUUUGGAAAUGGUCAAAGAAUGAUAUUAAUCUGGGUGGGCAGGCAACCACGAAAUGCGUACCUCAAAAACAACCCCGGA